UCUGAAUUUUAUUUAUAAAUCUGAAAAUAUUAUUUUAGUUUUAUUUUUUCCCCAUUUCUGCUUGAUGUUCUCAAACUGAGGUAAACGAAAAGGCAAUAGCACAGUUUAUCCUGUUUGGAAUUCUUCCAUGCACUGUUACACAUAUCUUCCAUUUCAAAUUGAAUUAUUAAUAGGUAUACAGUAUUCCCCUCAUUGGCAGCCUUCUUUGCUGAACAUGGGCUGAUGGUUAGAAUAUAUUUGUAUAAGUGAUGCUACAUAUACAUAUACACAUACUAUUACAGCAUUUACAAGUGUUAAAUUGAUAUGCACACUUUUGACAUAAUUCAAGCAAUAGGAGAC
RNAcentral lists this long non-coding RNA (339 nucleotides) under Mytilus galloprovincialis (Mediterranean mussel). The record is from RNAcentral. Lineage: Eukaryota; Metazoa; Mollusca; Bivalvia; Mytilida; Mytilidae.